This is a long non-coding RNA of Felis catus (domestic cat), 1367 nucleotides long. RefSeq lists it as uncharacterized. NCBI's taxonomy places the organism in Eukaryota, Metazoa, Chordata, Mammalia, Carnivora, Felidae. The record is from RefSeq and is a predicted model, not a curated record. The transcript is spliced from 3 exons.
CAAUAUGCGGAGACAUUUCUGGUUGCCAUGACUUGGGGGAAGGGGCUACUGGCCUCUAGGGGGUGGGGGCCAGGGACGCUGCCACAUAUCCCACCGUGCAAGGAACAGCCCUGAUAACAAAGAAUCCUUGCCCAAAAUAGUGCUGCGGUUGAGAAACCCUGGGCCAGAGGUUCUGUAACCAUCUUGUGCCUGUGGAAGGAAGAAUCCGCAGCUGUUACAGGCCACUCAACGGAGCCUGAGAAUGGCCCCUCCCAGUGGAAGGCAGAGUCGAAGGAUGGAGAGAAGCCGAGUCCUGGGGACAUCAUCCGAGUCCUGGAUCCAGCUUUGCCUGAAGCUAACACCGCUCCUGGACUUUUCCAUUUUGUGGCCCAGUCAAUGACCGGCUUAAGGCUGUUUGAUGAAGUUUCUCUGCCACCUUUACCUCCUCACAGCAACGUGGUGAAAUAGACUGGCCUUGUGUCCCUCUCCCUCUCUCUGCUUGAUGGAUGGGCAGUCCCAGGCCAGAGAGCCUGUGUGACUUACCCAAGGUCACACAGCCAGCCCACAACAUGCAUCACACUGGUGUUUGUUCAGUAACCUCGUACAGGACGAACCUUAUUUUUAUAUUAAACACAGCUCCGUGGAGCAGAAUGCCAAAUUCACACUGAUUUUCAAGAUAAAAUAGAACACCUCAGAAACAGGGAUAGCGUUGGGACUAGAAUCCCGGCGCUCUGAUGUCCAGUUCAACAGGAUUCUGCACCCCAACCUCCCUCACCUUCAAAUGACCCAUGGGUGAUGACAAAAUCUUUCACACCCGUCUUCUCAGCCUUACGGCGAUCCUGCAGUCAAGGCUGUUGCUGGACCAAAGGCGGCCUGCUUCUUGGUGAGCUAGAGACCGAGACUAUGCUGGGCGGAGGUCACUGUAUUUGUACAAACAAGGAGAUCACUGGGGAAUGGUUUCCAGAGCUGGGACGCCCCGGCAGCAGUAAGGGCUUGAGAUGAAUAUUCAGAGGGGGGUUUUAACAUUCUAAUGAAGCUGAGGUCACUGUCAGGGAAUUUCUGAUUCAUCCGGCAGGCGUGGUCCUCGAACGUUUCUUCGUUUCUAAAAGAUGAUAAGCAACAGCUUCUAGGGCUUUUCUGAGUUUAGGAGGUCAGUCAGGGCAUCACUCCUGAGCUCAGGGGGUCAAGGGGUCACCGGUGACACGGCCUGGACGGGGACCUAAGAAACUCAGGCCCAGAAGAAUUUCAGCUGUGUGCCGCCCACUUACCUGCCCCAACUGCCCGGGAUGGUUGGAGGUGAAGGUGUAAGGCCUGACACCCGGCCCUGACAGAGAGAGAAAGAGAGCACGAACAGGGGAGGAGCAGAGAGAGAGGGAGACCCAGAAUUC